GGCGAACGGGUGAGGAACACGUGAGAAACCUGCCUCGGAUUUUGGGAUAACAAAUGGAAACGUUUGCUAAUACCAAAUAACGUCGGAGAGCCUCAUGGCUUUCUGACGAAAGGAAUUCCGAUUCGAGAGGGUCUCGCGGCCUAUCAGCUAGUUGGCGGGGUAAUGGCCCACCAAGGCAACGACGGGUAGCUGGUCUGAGAGGAUGGUCAGCCACACUGGGACUGAGACACGGCCCAGACUCCUACGGGAGGCAGCAGUGGGGAAUCUUGCGCAAUGGGCGAAAGCCUGACGCAGCAACGCCGCGUGCGGGAAGAAGGCUUUCGGGCUGUAAACCGCUUUCAGCAGGAACGAAAAUGACGGUACCUGCAGAAGAAGAAGCACCGGCUAACUAUGUGCCAGCAGCCGCGGUAAUACAUAGGGUGCAAGCGUUGUCCGGAAUUAUUGGGCGUAAAGAGCUCGUAGGUCGUUUGUCGCGUCGAUUGUGAAAAUCUGAGGCUCAACCUCAGACCUGCAGUCGAUACGGGCAAACUAGAGUGUGGUAGGGGAGACUGGAAUUCCUGGUGUAGCGGUGGAAUGCGCAGAUAUCAGGAGGAACACCAAUGGCGAAGGCAGGUCUCUGGGCCAUAACUGACACUGAGGAGCGAAAGUGCGGGGAGCGAACAGGAUUAGAUACCCUGGUAGUCCGCACCGUAAACGGUGGGCACUAGUUGUGGGAACCUUCCACGGUUUCCGCGACGCAGCAAACGCAUUAAGUGCCCCGCCUGGGGAGUACGAUCGCAAGAUUAAAACUCAAAGGAAUUGACGGGGCCCCGCACAAG
RNAcentral lists this ribosomal RNA (818 nucleotides) under uncultured bacterium. RNAcentral's name for it is "bacterial SSU rRNA". It matches the Rfam family "Bacterial small subunit ribosomal RNA", at positions 97 to 929 of the family's 1533-position model. The record is from RNAcentral.